AUGGAGGCAUGGCUCCUGCUCCCUGUCGCCCUCCUCCUCCCCUUCCUCAUCGUCCUGCUCGCGCAGCGCGUCGCGGGUAAGGCCAAGAACGGCAGCCGCAUCCCGCCGGGCCCGCUCGCCUUGCCGUUGCUCGGCAGCCUGCUGUGGCUGAUGCACUCCUCAGCCGACGUGGAGCCCCUCCUCCGGCGCCUCAUGGCGCGGCACGGCCCCGUCGUGUCGCUGCGCGUCGGCUCCCGCCUCUCCAUCUUCGUGGCCGACCGGCGACUGGCCCACGCCGCCCUGGUGGAGCGUGGCGCCGCUCUGGCUGACCGCCCGGCGGUCACGCGCGGCCUCUUCGGCGAGACUGGCAACACAGUCGCGCGCGCCUGCUACGGGCCCGCGUGGCGCCUCCUGCGGCGCAACCUCGUCUCGGAGACGCUGCACCCGUCGCGUGUCCGCCUCUUCGCGCCCGCGCGCGCCUGGGUGCGCCGCGUGCUCGCGGACAAGCUGCUGCGGGACUCCGGCCCCGGCGUGGAGGCGGCGCCCCGCGGGGUCAUGGUCAUGGAGGCGUUCCGGUACGCCAUGUUCUGCCUCCUCGUGCUCAUGUGCUUCGGCGAGAGGCUCGACGAGGCCGCGGUGCGGGCGGUCGGCGCCGCGCAGCGCGACUGGCUCUUGUACGUCGCGCGCAAGAAGAGUGUCUUCGCCUUCUGGCCGGCUGUCACCAAGCACCUUUUUCGCGGCCGUCUCAAGAUGGGCCUCGCCCUGCGGCGGCGGCAGAAGGAGCUCUUCCUGCCGCUGAUUGACGCGCGGCGGGAGCGCAAGAAGCAGAUCAACCGUGGCGCCGGCGUGGUGUUGCCGAUGGCGGAGACCACGUUUGAGCACUCGUACGUGGACACCCUGCUCGACAUCAAGCUCCCUGAAGAAGAAGAGGCUGGCCGCGCGCUCACGGACGACGAGAUGGUCGUACUCUGCUCCGAGUUCCUUAUCGCCGGAACCGACACCACCUCCACCGGGCUGCAAUGGAUCAUGGCUGAGCUCGUCAAGAACCCGGCCAUCCAAGACAAGCUCUAUGACGAGAUCAGCGCCACAACUGGAGACGACUGGCAAGAGGUCUCCGAGGAGGAUAUCCACAAGAUGCCUUACCUCAAAGCCGUCGUCCUUGAGGGACUGCGCAGGCACCCACCGGCGCACUUCGUGCUGCCGCACAAGGCGAUGGAGGACAUGGAGAUUGACGGGUACCUGAUCCCGAAGGGCGCCACUGUGAACUUCAUGGUGGCCGAGAUGGGCAGGGACGAGCGGGAGUGGGAGAAGCCGAUGGAGUUCGUGCCCGAGCGAUUCUUGCCGGGCGGCGAUGGCGAGGGGGUGGAUGUGGCCGGCAGCAGGGAGAUCAGGAUGAUGCCAUUCGGUGUCGGGAGGAGGAUCUGCGCCGGGCUCGGCGUCGCCAUGCUUCACCUUGAGUACUUCGUGGCCAAUUUGGUCAAUGAGUUCGAGUGGCGUGAGAUUCCAGGCGACGAGGUGGAUUUCGCCGAGAAGCCGGAGUUCACCGUCGUCAUGGCCAAGCCGCUGUGCGCGAGGUUGGUGCCCAGAAGCAGGAGCUGA
RNAcentral lists this ribosomal RNA (1578 nucleotides) under Triticum aestivum (bread wheat). RNAcentral's name for it is "partial small subunit ribosomal RNA". Lineage: Eukaryota; Viridiplantae; Streptophyta; Magnoliopsida; Poales; Poaceae. The record is from RNAcentral.